Rhipicephalus microplus (southern cattle tick) is the source of this 1142-nucleotide long non-coding RNA. NCBI's taxonomy places the organism in Eukaryota, Metazoa, Arthropoda, Arachnida, Ixodida, Ixodidae. The record is from RefSeq and is a predicted model, not a curated record.
UGUUGCCCAGUGACUUGGAGACGCAGUCUUUAUACCAGCAGGUGCCCCACACCAGGUGCGAAACUUGCACAGCUGUAUAAAAGUGGCUGAAGACUUUGUAUCCCCAGAAAACAUUGUUCACUGCUUCAGCUUGACCAAUGAGUUCCGUCAGUUGUCUGACACCCACACGAACCAUGAGGACAAGCUCCAGAUUAAAAAUGUGGUCUACCAUGCUGUGAAGGAUGCUUUGGCGAUUCUAAAGGCAAAUCCUGCUUUAGACCCCAAGAAAUGAAAUGUGUGCGGCAUAGGCUGAGGAUCUCAAAAAAAAAAAAAAGUUGGACCUCCCUUCAACUUUCAAGGGAUCUUCGGCCUGCGCUUCUCUUGGAUGUGUCUGGCAGGUCUUAACUUGCCAACCGAAGGUGUUUCCGCCAUCUCCUGUCUGGACACAUUUUGUACAUUUUUUUCUCUUCCCAUCAGAGUGCCAGCCAACGUGUGUGUGUUCUCCUGUAAUAUGAACCAUUGAAUUUCAGUUGUUGCUAGUACGCUUCCCUUAUUGUUACUUUGUCAGGGGCCAGCCGUACUUGUUUUGUAAAAGAAUCGGAUCAAACUUGCUUGCAAGUGUGUGUGUGUCUGUGUGUGUACACGAGUGUUGUGGGCACCAACAGCUGUUAAUUAUGUUGUAGACUUCUCUGCGCCCCUCCUUGACAAUUGUCUUGCCAGCUAUGUUCAGCAUUUUUUCAGAGCAGCACGCUUUGAGAGACAAUAACAAUGCAUACAUUUUCUGCACUGUUGCCAUGUAAAAUAGAAGUGUUGUACUUAUAUAUACUUAAGAAGGUAUAUAUAAAUGCAUAUAUCUACUUAUAAAUAUUACAUUGUAGUUGCUUCUGUUCUGUUGCUACUUUAACUCCUUUAGUUUCCUGUGUUUCUUUGUUUUCAUUGUUUUUCCACAAUCACCAUCUCAUCGGUGUAGUCAAUUCCAUUGAUUAUUGUUAUUUUAAGACUCACAGUAGUACUGAGUUUGUACAUGUAUCUAUUCCAUAGCAAUAUUUUUAUAUUGAAAAUGUGAUUGACUGUAAUGUCAGUCUAUAAUGAAAAUCACUGUUUUUAUUUGAAGGUGUUUGGCUGAUGUUAAUGGUUCCAAAUAAAUUGUUCAUUUGUAAGCC